This 541-nucleotide long non-coding RNA is filed under the name Carica papaya (papaya). RNAcentral's name for it is "long non-coding RNA (CPAP_LNC006003)". The record is from RNAcentral. Lineage: Eukaryota; Viridiplantae; Streptophyta; Magnoliopsida; Brassicales; Caricaceae.
GAGGAGCUUGAAAGCUUUUUCAGAUCCUGCGACGCCGUUUCGGUUGCUAAGAGAAGGUGUCCGUGUAUAUGAUCUUCUUGGUUUAUGAUGAUGAUGAUGAUGAUGGUGGUGGUGGUGGUGGUGGGGGUGAUGACGAUGAUGAGGGUCAUGACUCGUAAUCCUUCUCUAUUACAUACACAAUUUUUUUCUUCUUUUUGGGUUUAUGGGGGAUUGAUUAAUUCAUAUAUAGAGAGAGCGAAAGAGAGUGAGGAUCAAAAGGGUUCAUGAUCCCAUGUAUGUUUAUCUCAUAUAUAUAUAUAUAUGCAUGUAAUUACACGUUAAUUCCACGUUGUUUUGUAUGAGAAUUAGACAAGUUCGAAUUCUCCAAUCAUCAGUUCAUAUAUGUCUGCAAUUCAGACAAUAAUGUUAUGUGGAUCUGAACCUUUAUUAGUCUAAUUUCUCUCUUGUGAUAUUCGCCUUGAAAUUCAAAAAUUCUCUUUUGAAUUUUGUGUUUACAUAUAUAACUAUAUAUGAUAAUUUAUAUCAUUGUCAUCCCAGCCAA